GCGGCACCGUGUCCGGUCCUCGAGCGUAUGGGGCUUUGUCACCCGCUCGAUUAGGGCCGGCCGGGCGCCAGCCGACGUCUCCAACCAUUUUCUUCAGGUUGACCUCGGAUCAGGUAGGGAUACCCGCUGAACUUAAGCAUAUCAUAUCCCGGAGGAA
RNAcentral lists this ribosomal RNA (157 nucleotides) under Aspergillus versicolor. RNAcentral describes it as "partial 28S ribosomal RNA". Lineage: Eukaryota; Fungi; Ascomycota; Eurotiomycetes; Eurotiales; Aspergillaceae. The record is from RNAcentral.